UACAAAGGUUAAAUUGUGGUCCAGACAGU
Molecule: non-coding RNA, 29 nt
Filed under: Rattus norvegicus (Norway rat)
Lineage: Eukaryota; Metazoa; Chordata; Mammalia; Rodentia; Muridae
Source: RNAcentral